AUACGGAGGUUGCAAGCGUUAUCCGGAUUUAUUGGGUUUAAAGGGUGCGCAGGCGGAUAAUUAAGUCAGUGGUGAAAUCCUCCCGCUCAACGGGAGAACUGCCAUUGAUACUGAUAAUCUGGAAUACGGUUGAAGUGGGCGGAAUGUAGCAUGUAGCGGUGAAAUGCAUAGAGAUGCUACAGAAUACCGAUCGCGAAGGCAGCUCACUAAGCAGAUAUUGACGCUCAGGCACGAAAGCGUGGGUAGCGAACAGGAUUAGAAACCCUAGUAGUCC
Molecule: ribosomal RNA, 274 nt
Filed under: uncultured bacterium
Lineage: Bacteria
Description: partial 16S ribosomal RNA
Rfam family: Bacterial small subunit ribosomal RNA
Source: RNAcentral